RNAcentral lists this long non-coding RNA (264 nucleotides) under Setaria italica (foxtail millet). RNAcentral's name for it is "long non-coding RNA (SITA_LNC004011)". Lineage: Eukaryota; Viridiplantae; Streptophyta; Magnoliopsida; Poales; Poaceae. The record is from RNAcentral.
AUACACACGCAACCCUACCCCUAUAAGUACCUCCGAGAGAUAGAGUUGGAAAAUCCUUUAGAUUGACGAAACCACCAUUAACGCCUCACUAUCAGGUACGUCGCCUUCCACUGAAAGUAUAAUGCUAGUUAAAUCUGGAAAUGAAUCCAGGAUAAUAUGAGUGCCAGUGUUGAGUCGAGGAUUCGAACCCAGCAGGGCAGGUUUUACCAUAAGCAAUCUUCCUAGUUGAGCUACGCUUAAUUUGUGCUUUCUUAUUUUCUGAAC